GUGCUGGGAAUUAUUUAUGCAGAAAAUCUGCCACUAACAGGGCAACACAUAUAUUAAAAUUGGAAUGAUACAGAGAAGAUUAGCAUGGCCCCUGCACAAAGAUGACACGCAAGUUACAAACCACAGUACCUAAAAUU
RNAcentral lists this small nuclear RNA (137 nucleotides) under Sorex araneus (European shrew). Lineage: Eukaryota; Metazoa; Chordata; Mammalia; Eulipotyphla; Soricidae. The record is from RNAcentral.